UGGGGAAUUUUGCACAAUGGGGGAAACCCUGAUGCAGCGACGCAGCGUGAUUUAGAAGGCCUUCGGGUUGUAAAAAUCUUUUCUAUGGGAAGAAAAUGACAGUACCAUAGGAAUAAGGACCGGCUAAUUACGUGCCAGCAGCCGCGGUAAUACGUAAGGUCCGAGCGUUGUCCGGAAUCAUUGGGCGUAAAGGGUACGUAGGCGGGUAAGCAAGUUAGAAGUGAAAUCCUAUAGCUCAACUAUAGUAAGCUUUUAAAACUGCUCAUCUUGAGGUAUGGAAGGGAAAGUGGAAUUCCUAGUGUAGCGGUGAAAUGCGCAGAUAUUAGGAGGAAUACCGGUGGCGAAGGCGACUUUCUGGCCAUAACCUGACGCUGAGGUACGAAAGCGUGGGUAGCGAACAGG
RNAcentral lists this ribosomal RNA (402 nucleotides) under bacterium. RNAcentral's name for it is "partial 16S ribosomal RNA". It matches the Rfam family "Bacterial small subunit ribosomal RNA", at positions 355 to 776 of the family's 1533-position model. The record is from RNAcentral.